GCUACUUGUCUUGUAUCAACCAAACCCCUAGUCCAAGUCACACAACCAUUGCCAGUACCAUUGACAUCCAACUUCGCAUAAGCCAGGCAAGAGCAGUUCCUCAAGCAGUUCUCCUUACAGUCUUCGACACUCGUACUUACACUCACCCAGUACUCUGAUGCAUCUGGCAGUUUUAUUCCAGUUAAUUUUAUAAAUCCUUCAUUUCCACAAACAUGUG
RNAcentral lists this unclassified non-coding RNA (217 nucleotides) under Hevea brasiliensis (rubber tree). Lineage: Eukaryota; Viridiplantae; Streptophyta; Magnoliopsida; Malpighiales; Euphorbiaceae. The record is from RNAcentral.